Molecule: ribosomal RNA, 499 nt
Filed under: uncultured bacterium
Lineage: Bacteria
Description: bacterial SSU rRNA
Rfam family: Bacterial small subunit ribosomal RNA
Source: RNAcentral
GAUGAACGCUAGCUACAGGCUUAACACAUGCAAGUCGAGGGGUUUCAAAGGAGCUUGCUCCCGCGGAACGACCGGCGCACGGGUGAGUAACGCGUAUCCAACCUGCCCUUCAUAUUGGUAUAGCCUCCCGAAAGGGAGAUUAAUCCCGAAUGCCAUAUCAUAGUUGCCUGACGAUGAUAUGAAAGCUCCGGCGAUGAAGGAUGGGGAUGCGUUCCAUUAGGUAGUAGGCGGGGUAACGGCCCACCUAGCCGACGAUGGAUAGGGGUUCUGAGAGGAAGGUCCCCCACACUGGAACUGAGACACGGUCCAGACUCCUACGGGAGGCAGCAGUGAGGAAUGUUGGUCAAUGGUCUGACGACUGAACCAGCCAUGCCGCGUGAAGGUGACGGCCCUAUGGGGUCUUAAACUUCUUUUGUAAGGGAGCAAUAAGGUCUACGUGUAGGCUGAUGAGAGUACCUUACGAAUAAGCAUCGGCUAACUCCGUGCCAGCAGCCGACGG